GCCCUUCGGGGUGGAUUAGUGGCGAACGGGUGAGUAACACGUGGGCAAUCUGCCCUUCACUCUGGGACAAGCCCUGGAAACGGGGUCUAAUACCGGAUAACACUCCUGCCUGCAUGGGCGGGGGUUAAAAGCUCCGGCGGUGAAGGAUGAGCCCGCGGCCUAUCAGCUAGUUGGUGGGGUAAUGGCCUACCAAGGCGACGACGGGUAGCCGGCCUGAGAGGGCGACCGGCCACACUGGGACUGAGACACGGCCCAGACUCCUACGGGAGGCAGCAGUGGGGAAUAUUGCACAAUGGGCGAAAGCCUGAUGCAGCGACGCCGCGUGAGGGAUGAAUGCCUUCGGGUUGUAAACCUCUUUCAGCAGGGAAGAAGCGCAAGUGACGGUACCUGCAGAAGAAGCACCGGCUAACUACGUGCCAGCAGCCGCGGUAAUACGUAGGGUGCGAGCGUUGUCCGGAAUUAUUGGGCGUAAAGAGCUCGUA
This 482-nucleotide ribosomal RNA is filed under the name Streptomyces candidus. Its description in RNAcentral is "bacterial SSU rRNA". It matches the Rfam family "Bacterial small subunit ribosomal RNA", at positions 75 to 573 of the family's 1533-position model. Lineage: Bacteria; Bacillati; Actinomycetota; Actinomycetes; Kitasatosporales; Streptomycetaceae. The record is from RNAcentral.